RNA transcript from Gadus chalcogrammus (walleye pollock), 2738 nucleotides. RefSeq lists it as uncharacterized. The transcript has 9 exons. NCBI's taxonomy places the organism in Eukaryota, Metazoa, Chordata, Actinopteri, Gadiformes, Gadidae. The record is from RefSeq and is a predicted model, not a curated record.
ACGAAAGAAACAGGACUCUGUCUCGGUAAUAAAGCGUAGAAACAACAUGUUUGGUGUUCCUCUUUGUUCCAUCGGGCUGCUACUUAUUGCCCUCAUUCACACCGCUGUAACCAAAGACCACCUCGUGAUGGGGGGAGUGGGUCACACAGUUAGCCUGCCAUGUCUCUCGUCUUUGGAGGGAUCCUGCUCAGACAUACGAUGGUUUCAUGAGACAAAAAGUGGUGCAACCCUUAUCGCUAGUAUCUCCAGAAGAGAAGACGCAAACACUGGUAGAUUUAACAUUGUGUCUAAUUGUUCCUUACACAUCAACAACAUCACCGAAGUGGAUGUCGGAAUAUAUUGGUGCAGUAAAGAUCAGGAUGACUUGCAAUAUCUGUCUCUUAUCACUGUUUCCUCCCAGCUGAGGUCUCGAAUGUUCCCCGGAGCCAACGUUACCUUAAGCUGUAAUCUGGUCACGUUCAAGGGGCCUGGUAGGUGUUUCAGCCCUCUGUAUCAAGGUAUGUCUCUCAAGUGGCAGGAUGAUAAUCGACCGGACUACAUCCUCGCCAAACAGAGGAUCAGCAGAUGUACUGUCCAGCUGAAUGUCAUCCUUCAGCCGGACAGCCGCUUCAGCUGCCUGGCUUUGGUCAACCGCCAGGUCAAGAACAGGGUGGAGUUCCCCGUCCGUAUCCGAGUUGAGGGAAGAGGCCUUCCCAUGCCUUACUCAGAAAACGACGAUCAAGGUCAUGAUGGGGGAUCCAAUGUAGCUGACGGGGACGGUGGCAACAGCGAGGUGAUCGGCCGAGUCAUCGCCGUGACAGUAGUGAGCUGUGCCAUGACGGUGGUGCUGGUUCUGAUCCUAGCGAAGAAGAAGAGGAAGCCAAAUGACCAGCUUGUAGCACAUCCAGAGACUCCCCUGGACGUUAAUACUGUAAUAAAUACUGAUGCGGCCGCCACUGCAGAGGAUGUCACCCAUGCUGACAUAACGGUUGCAGGCGUUGCGGACAGGAAGUGGGAGACAGAGAGUGAAGCCCCUGUUUACACAAACAUAGAACCGACCGCUCACAACAAUGUUUGAUUGGCAUUACCUGGUAACCCAAAACGGCCAAAAGCAGAUUACUCAUACAACACCAUCGACUACCCAGAGGGCCAAUUGAGUCCAUGUUUACAUCUUAUCCUACGUUUUUAAAACUGCAUGUAUGACGUGCUAUGGUCCAUGAUCAGUCUUUACCACUAUGAUGUAACCCACUACAUCACUUUUCAUCUAAAAUAAUUUGUUUUAGGAUCUGGUUUUCCUUCAAACAACAGAUAGCUCACAGGAUUCAUGUACUUUAUUUUGUACUCUGGGUGUAGCAUUUUUGAGUAGCAUCCAGCUGCAGCCUGUGGUGUGGCAAAGGGCCUUUGCUUUUCAACGUCCAUUUUUCUGUUAAAUUUCAAUGUUUAUGUUUAUAUAAAAAUAUACAUUGUAUAAUUGUUUUGCUUGUUAUUUGCGUGUGUUGCCUACGAAAUAUGAACACAAAAGAUUACCGUGUGGGACAUUACAAUUGAAAGAAGGAGUUUUAAUGGGAAAAAACAAUUAUUUGUUAAGUUUUGGGAGAAUAACCAAAGGUUGAAAAAAUAUAACAAAUAUGCAAAUAUUGCAAAAUAGGAAAUAACUUUACUUAUUCAAUGGAUCUACUCAAUCUAUAAAUAAAAAUGCAUUCCACACCGUCAUUGAGAUACUUUCCGUUGCUCUUUAUUCAGCGAUAUGACGUACUAAUAUACUAUGAGCAUGUUAGGGAAGUAACCCUGGGACCUAACAAAUAAGGAGGUAAUGCCAAGUCUGGGGUCAGAGAAUGUUGGCAAAUUCAGGAAGCUGUCUCUGUGUUGGCUAAGACUACAUCUUACCGAACACGAAAGAAACAGGACUCUGUCUCGGUAAUAAAGCGUAGAAACAACAUGUUUGGUGUUUCUCUUUGUUCCAUCGGGCUGCUACUUAUUGCCCCCAUUCACACCGCUGUAACCAAACACAACCUCGUGAUGGGGGGAGUGGGUCACACAGUUAGCCUGCCCUGCGUCUCUCCUUUGGAGGGAUCCUGCUCAGACAUACGAUGGUUUCAUAACACAAAAAGUGGUACAACCCUUAUCGCUAGUAUCUCCAGAAGAGAAGACGCAAACACUGGUAGAUUUAACAUGUGAGUAAUGCCCAUGGGCCUGUAGAUUGUAUGUUUACUUUGAAUGUGCAGGGUAAGUAGAUGUCUUCUGAAGCGGUGGUAUGGGUCUUGAACCCACAGGGAGGGAUUGUGCUGCAGGUGUGUUGAAAGCUGUAUUACUCGUUAACAAUCUCAGACACAUAUUGCCCAAACUGCACCAUGCAAAAAAAAGCAUUUGAUGUUUUGGGUUGUUUUGGUUCUUUCAGUUUCCUCCCAGCUGAGGUCUCGAAUGUUCCCCGGAGCCAACGUUACCUUAAGCUGUAGUCUGGUCACGUUCGAGAGGCCUGGUUGGUGUUUCAGCCCUCUGUAUCAAGGUAUGUCUCUCAAGUGGCAGGAUGAUAAUCGACCAAAACUACAUCCUCGCCGAACAGAGGAUCAGCAGAUGUACUGUCCAGCUGAAUGUCAUCCUUCAGCCGGACAGCCGCUUCAGCUGCCUGGCUUUGGUCAACCGCCAGGUCCAGAACAGGGUGGAGUUCCCCGUCCGUAUCAGAGUUGAGGGAAGAGGCCUUCCCAUGCCUUACUUAGAAAACGACGAUCAAGGUCAUGAUGGGGGAUCCAAUGUAGCUG